RNAcentral lists this unclassified non-coding RNA (293 nucleotides) under soil metagenome. RNAcentral's name for it is "partial contains small subunit ribosomal RNA, internal transcribed spacer 1, and 5.8S ribosomal RNA". The record is from RNAcentral.
UUUCCGUAGGUGAACCUGCGGAAGGAUCAUUAUUGAAUAAACCUGAUGGGUUGUCGCUGGCUCUUUAGGGAGCAUGUGCACGCCUGUCAUCUUUAUAUUUCCACCUGUGCACCUUUUGUAGAUCUGGAUAAACUCUCGAGGUUAAACUCGGACGGGAGCGCUGCUUUUUUAGCUUCACUCCAAUUUCCAGGUCUAUGUUUUUCAUACACCCCAUAGUAUGUAACAGAAUGUAUCAAAGGGCCUUUGUGGCUAUAAACAUUAUACAACUUUCAGCAACGGAUCUCUUGGCUCUC